Molecule: unclassified non-coding RNA, 642 nt
Filed under: Hevea brasiliensis (rubber tree)
Lineage: Eukaryota; Viridiplantae; Streptophyta; Magnoliopsida; Malpighiales; Euphorbiaceae
Source: RNAcentral
UAAGCAUCCAGCCACAUCCAGUAGUAAAUAGAUGUUGGGAAGUAAUAGUAGUAUACAGUCAAAAUGUCCUAGCAAAACCCACUAUAGGAAAGUCGAGAACUAAUAGAGGAUUCCAUUAGCUAGCUGCAUUUGCCGAAUUGUACUUACACUGCAACCAUAUCAAGCGCCUCUCAUUCUUCAGAGAGAUAAAAGUUUCUCUGGCAUUUGAAUUCUCGAAUAAAUCCAAUGCAAAAAAGUAGAUACUUUGAUCUACACCUUGCAUUUCAUCUAAUACUUUUAUGCAUUUGCUUAUAGCAAAGCGUUCCUCAUUCCUCAUAAUGGCAGCUGCCCUCAUCUUCGAAGCAGCUGCAAUUUCCAGCAUUGCAUCAACUAUAGCAUCACCAGUUGCCUUGCGACUUCUCUUGCGACGACCUGAAUUUGGCGUUACAGUUUGAUGCUUAUUGUGCCCAUCUAACAUGUUUAUGUCCUCUCCUGAGCCUGAAGAAGCAUCCUCCUCCACCAAAGCAGGAUCAGCAGACAUGGUGAAAUGUCUUUGCAUUACCAGGCAGGCACAGGAUUUCUACCUCCUGAACGAAUUUCAGACGAUGGAGGUGCCGAUGGCUGAGAGAGGGGCGCUGCAACGGUCGACGGCUUAGGGUUUUG